This 345-nucleotide long non-coding RNA is filed under the name Rattus norvegicus (Norway rat). Its description in RNAcentral is "long non-coding RNA NONRATT013220". Lineage: Eukaryota; Metazoa; Chordata; Mammalia; Rodentia; Muridae. The record is from RNAcentral.
GCACCCUUGUGCACGCCGACCUCAGCGAGUACAACAUGCUGUGGCAUGCUGGGAAGGUAAGUGGCACAGUUAGUUUAUAUCCAGGUUACAUUUCCUGAUGUGAGUCAGUGAGUGUAAACACAUUGAUUUAUGCUCUGUGUUUACUAGGUCUGGUUGAUUGAUGUCAGUCAGUCGGUAGAACCGACCCAUCCUCAUGGCCUGGAGUUCUUAUUCCGUGACUGUAGGAACGUUUCACAGUUCUUCCAGAAGGGAGGAGUAAAGGAAGCCCUUAACGAGCGGGAGCUGUUCAAUGCUGUUUCUGGCCUGAGCAUCUCAGCAGACAAUGAAGCUGACUUCUUAGCUGAG